This is a long non-coding RNA of Mytilus californianus (California mussel), 1995 nucleotides long. RefSeq lists it as uncharacterized. The record is from RefSeq and is a predicted model, not a curated record. Lineage: Eukaryota; Metazoa; Mollusca; Bivalvia; Mytilida; Mytilidae. The transcript has 3 exons.
GUAUUUUAAUCAUUUAUUUUGAUAGCUCAUCUUCAAAGGAAAUUUUCUGUUAAGCUUGCUCACAUAUUGUAUAGACACGCGUCUCUCCUUGGAUGGUGCAUAUAAAAAAUAAUAGACAAAAACAAUAAGUUAUAUUUUUUUUUCAAACAUUUAUAAAAGCGGCAAAUUGAAAACAAAUAAUUCGCUUUUAGCAGUCGGUUGGUUCUAUUAGGUCAAAAUAAGUUAAAAAAAAAAAAGAUAUCGCUGAUGUAUUAUUGGCAUACGAAUCAGUUAUUCAACCUUAUUUGAAUUCGUAUUCAUGCGACCUGUAAUCUUACCAUAAGCUGGAGAUGAGUUACGCAUGGGCUAAGCAUGCUCAGUUAUUAGAAAGAAAAUAAUGUCAACAUUGAAAAGUGAAACAAAGGAGCCAACAGAAAGAAUCAUUACUUUGUUGGUUUAAUUCGAUGGCGUCUAGUCUGAAUUAUGUACGAAAUGCUGAAACAUUAUAACGAGUCCAGGCAUUGGUAAUUGCUUGUUUUGGACUUUUGAUAAACUGGAUAUACGUUUUAGUACGGUGUUAAUUAAAUAUGAGAAUUUGAGUCAAAUCGGUUAACACGAAUUUGACAGCUAUUGCCCCUUUAAAUCUCCAUUCAUGCAGUCAAUGAUUUUCAAUUUAAACUACCCGAUACUAAUGAUCCAGUUUGUUAAUAAUUAACAGAUACGAACCAGUAUAUUUUUAAUAAUGUUACACAUUGCUGUGUUGGCUCACAAGGGUUGUUGAAAUUCAAUUACUGCAUUAUUUGAGGAGAUGCCACAAAGAAUGGUUGCAAUGUGCGGAGACUCUAUUUAACACAAAUACAUAAGGUGUUUGCUUCAUCUGAAUCGACAGCCAAGAACUGUAACUUAAAUUCAUAUCAAAAGAAAAUUAUUUUGCAAAAGAAGAACUUAUAUCAGAUUAUGCCAUUCUAAAUUUCAGUGAUCAUCAAAUGAUACUUCAAAAUGUAUGAAGUUUUUAUUCUAUAUGAUGAUACAGAUGUGUUUACUCAUAAAACUCUUUUUCCUGUUUUCGAAAACCAAAAGCUAGAAUAUUUUUCAUUUAAUCAUUUUUCAGAAAAGACAAUAUUUGGCACCCUUGAAACAUUAGAUUCCUUUCCUGAUAAAAUACUUAUCAUAUUGUCGGACGAGUUAUGUCAAAAUGAGAGUGAAAAAUAUGCUAUUUAAUAUGUUCUGCUGUUUGCCAUUCAUAUAUACGGGAAUGCCAGGAAGGUUUUUGAUCACGUUAUAACUUUUAUAACUUCUGGAUCAAUAAGAAUGAUGUAUUUCAACUGUUGAAAACUACUAUCAUUUAUAACAAUUCAAGUUUCCAUCAAGGAUCUUGUAUCAGAAAUCAGAUUAAAGAUAAGGCCAUUUUGUAACAUUCUGGCUUAAAAUGGUAUUGUUGAGACCUUAGGUUUGCAUGGGUUAAGUAUGAAACAUUUAGAAUCACAAAUAUUUGGUCUUAUAAUUUCAACACAAAAUCUCUGUUUACAAAUUGACUUAGACGUUUUUUUUAAAUAUUGACAAAAACAUCAAGAUCACCAAACAUUAGACAUUUUUGGACAAAGUGACGUUCUGAUAAACCCUAACACUAAAGUUUCGAUUGUGCUAGACAAUAACUCGCAUGAAUUUAAAGAACCUAUGUCUGAUAUUUCCAACAUUUGCUCAUCUUUAAUCGGUUAUUGCAAUGAUUUUAAUCGUUGGAAAUUAGCAUGUUCUGUUGCUGGAAAGUAUGGUCCUGCGAGAAAAACUUUCUGAUAAAUAUUUACCCAAAUGUGUGGUACGGAGUAACAAGAAAAGCUGUUACUGAUACUGCGCAGCCUCGUUUUGAAAGAAAACAGUAUUGAAGAAAGAAAGAACGCAUUCAAUUCCUUAUGCAUGGAUUAAAAAUGAUUUAGAUCAGGUUCAAAACAUUGCAAGGGCUGGUUUUUUCUACCCAGGAGUCGGAUCAAAUGGACACUGUUAUUCCUGUGGCUGUUU